This 2397-nucleotide long non-coding RNA is filed under the name Nicotiana tabacum (common tobacco). RNAcentral's name for it is "long non-coding RNA (NTAB_LNC012674)". The record is from RNAcentral. Lineage: Eukaryota; Viridiplantae; Streptophyta; Magnoliopsida; Solanales; Solanaceae.
AUUGUCCUUAUACGUGCACAAUUCGUGAAUGAUUCAUUAAGUGGUCAAGAUAUGUGAAAAUAGUUGGUCGUUACACAGCGAAUCUUGAUUAGCCAUAAAUCAUGAAUACCAAGUUUUUAUUCUCAAAAAGACACUACCAUCAGACGUUAGAAUUUUCCUACAAAGUUUUCAACGAAAUUCUUGCAACCAAGCAAUUCCAACGAGAAUUGUUAGAACCGUAGCAACGCAAAAUUUUGCGGUUCUAAAGGAGUACGAUGCAAUCUUUUUCAAGAAUAUUAUAUGAAUUUUUCCCUACUCCAGGUAUGUUAAGGAUAUCACUUCUUUCUUUUUGGAAUGAUCCAUACGACACAAGCAAAACGAGCAAAUGCACAACUUUCAUAAAUUACUCUAUUUGUAGAAACGAUAGAGAUGUGUAUAUUCUUAUUCUCCCAUAUGUCAUAUUAUUCUAUCAUAUGUUCAUGGGUUUCAAAAAUACGUAAGUUGGUAAAGUUUAUUUCAUGAUAUUAAUCAGAGGCAUAAUGGUCUUAUGACGUACUGAGAGAUUUUAUUAACGUAUUUCAUAUAUGGGUGUUUAACGGGUGGGCCGGACUGGGUAGGGAAAUUUAGUACCCGUACGGGUUAUGGUCCGGGCCGGUUAAGGGUUGGGACAUACCGGGUUUAACGGGUUCGGGUUCAUCCGGGUAAAAAUUGAACCGUAAGGGUUACGUGUUCAUGGGGCCGGGCCGGGUUUGUGUUAUUUUUAAUUUAUUUUUUUUUGUAUUUUGUAUAACUAUUGUAAGUUAUAUUAAUAUAAAGUAAAAAUAUAAAUAAUACAAUGAAGAUGGGAAAAAAUUGCAUUUAUAAAGUGCUACAUUUAUUUCAAAAUUCAAACUUACAAAUUGAAAGGUUUACAUAUAACAAGUAAAUUAACCAAAAAAGAGUAAAUUCAAAGGUUUUGCAUUGCCUUAGUAAGUUCUUCAUAAUCGAUAUGAACUGAGUGACCUUCUUCUGGAGUGUUAAAUACGGGUGGGUUACCAUGUGUUAAUAUAUCUCCAAGUUCCUCGUAUUUGGCGUGAAAGGAAUUCAUCAGAUUAGCAAAAAGAACUACGAUGAUGACACGACCUGCAGAGAAAUUUCAAUACACAUGCACAUACAAGGGAGAUCAAAAAAUAAAUGGCAGUCAAUAUUGAAAGGCUUGAAUCAUUAUCCAUAUGCUAGAAUGAUGGCUCAAUUUGUUAGAAGUGUAAUUAGUAUAGUUUUAUCUUGUUUUCUUAUUUUUGGAGGUGGAUAGUCCGCAUCUGCCUGGUUCUGUAAAAGACAGUUUUUGAUGAAAUGGAAAGUUUGUUUAAUCAAAAAAAAAAUGAAAAAAAGUGAAUUUAGUUUCAAGCUCUGAGUCAGAAUUAAUAACCUCAAUUUCAAAAGUCACCACUUAAUUCCAGUUCUUCGACACUAAUUCACUUGUUUUUGCUGAACCGCCAAUUUUUGUGAUGCAACAAUUAACUACGGACGGGAGCGUGGAAUGCACCUUUUCAAAAUAACUACCUACUAUAGUUUGUAAUAUACUUAGAACUCUAAGCAAUCAAAAUAUUGUAUGUGACACUCCAAUUAACACUGUCUGCCUGUCUAUGGGGAUACCUAACCCUAAUGUCUUCACAAGUGACACUACGGGUUGUAAUAUGUUAAACUCUUUUUAGUAAGUAGUAUAUAAAUCCUAUUAGUGCUAAAAAAAAUCACUUGUAUUGAUACAAAUCUAGCUAAAGAUUGUCAAAUGAACUAAUCUAGUCACAAUCUAAGUAUUUGAAGAAUUAAUCCAAAAUGUCAAUCAACUAAUUCAAUCAAAUUCUUUGACAACAAUCUCAAACCUAGAUUCAACUAUCAAAUUAAUAUGAAAAGUACAACAAAAGUAUAAAAAGAAUAACAAUUAGUUGCCCCAAAUAAAUUAAAAAGUGCAUACUAAUCCUACAACCCUAAAUGGGAAAAAAGAAGAAAAAAAUUGAGGGAAAGAGAGAAGGGUGUCACCGGAAGCCGGAGAGAUGAGUGUCGCCGAAGAACGGGAGGCCGAAGCACUGAGCUGCCUGGGGGAGGGGGUUUUCCAGAGAGAGAGAAAAGAGAAAAGGAAGAUAAGUGAGAAAGAAAAAAGAAAGGGGUCCGAGGGGAUUUUUAAAAAAAUCCGACCGAAUUGGUCGGAAAUUUAAAUACGUUUAAAAACUUCGACCGAUUCGGUGGCAAACCCAGUCAACAAAGUCAGGCCUUAUUUUAAUGAAUAUCUGAGAUGGAAUCUGUUGCAGCUUUUUUUUUCUAUUUAUCCGACCGUUCGGACGCUAACGUACUAAAACGAUAUUUCCGCCAAAAUUUGUGACGGAAUAUCUGCCGUAAACAUUAAUAAAAUUUGAAAAAUAUUAUUUUAGGCCAUUUUCG